CCGAGUUUACAACUCCCAAACCCCUGUGAACAUACCUAUACGUUGCCUCGGCGGAUCAGCCCGCGCCCCGUAAAAAGGGACGGCCCGCCCGAGAACCCCUAAACUCUGUUUUUAGUGGAACUUCUGAGUAAAACAAACAAAUAAAUCA
Molecule: unclassified non-coding RNA, 148 nt
Filed under: soil metagenome
Description: partial internal transcribed spacer 1
Source: RNAcentral